RNAcentral lists this ribosomal RNA (257 nucleotides) under uncultured bacterium. RNAcentral's name for it is "partial 16S ribosomal RNA". It matches the Rfam family "Bacterial small subunit ribosomal RNA", at positions 524 to 775 of the family's 1533-position model. The record is from RNAcentral.
UACGGAGGGUGCAAGCGUUAUCCGGAAGUUCACUGGGUUUAAAGGGUGCGUAGGCGGGUAUAUAAGUCAGUGGAUGAAAGCUCCGGGCUUAACUUGGAACUGCCAUUGAUACUGUAUAUCUUGAAUGUCGUUGAGGUAAGCGGAAAUGUUGCAUGUAGCGGUGAAAUGCUUAGAUAUGUUACAGAACACCAAUUGUGAAGACAGCUUACUAAGCGAUAAAUUGACGUGGAGGCAACGAAAGCGUGGGGAGCAAACAG